UUCGGGGACAAAGUGACAGGUGGUGCAUGGUUGUCGUCAGCUCGUGUCGUGAGAUGUUGGGUUAAGUCCCGCAACGAGCGCAACCCUUGAUUUUAGUUGCCAGCAUUUAGUUGGGCACUCUAAAGUGACUGCCGGUGCAAGCCGGAGGAAGGUGGGGAUGACGUCAAAUCAUCAUGCCCCUUAUGACCUGGGCUACACACGUGCUACAAUGGAUAGUACAAAGGGUCGCGAAGCCGCGAGGUGGAGCUAAUCCCAUAAAACUAUUCUCAGUUCGGAUUGUAGGCUGCAACUCGCCUACAUGAAGCCGGAAUCGCUAGUAAUCGUGGAUCAGCAUGCCACGGUGAAUACGUUCCCGGGCCUUGUACACACCGCCCGUCACACCACGAGAGUUUGUAACACCCGAAGUCGGUAGGGUAACCUUUAUGGAGCCAGCCGCCGAAGGUGGGACAGAUAAUUGGGGUGAAGUCGUAACAAGGUAGCCGUAUCGGAAGGUGCGGCUGGAUCACCUCCUUUCUAAGGAA
Molecule: ribosomal RNA, 521 nt
Filed under: Listeria monocytogenes
Lineage: Bacteria; Bacillati; Bacillota; Bacilli; Caryophanales; Listeriaceae
Description: bacterial SSU rRNA
Rfam family: Bacterial small subunit ribosomal RNA
Source: RNAcentral